AACAUACACAGCACUAUUAAAUUUCAAAAUUCUGAGACUUCCGGGAGCGUCUCCAAGAUGGCGGGUUAAAUCUGUAAUCUGUCCUGAUCAGCGACAAGGAAGACUCCACUAAACUCGAUUAAGAGACUCAGCUCUUCAAAAUUAUAUAUUAUGCAUGGAGUUAGAUCAAAAAAGAGACUGGGGGGUGCAAAAAGUCACAAUCAGGCAAGGACUGAUCUAAGAAACUUUGGAAAAAGCUAGCAUGAUGCAGGACUCGGACCCUAGCGAGGAGAGUGAGCUAAUGACUGCUAAGGCUAUCCAGAAUCUAUGCAACACUAUCAAAGUAAUGCAAAAUGACUUCACUGCUAUGAAAAAUGACACCAUGCAAGACCUGAACAGCUUUAAGAGUGAAAUUAACAAGAAACUGGAAGAGGUCAGCUGGGACUUUCGUAACCUAGCUGCUAGGCUAACGGAAGCGGAACAACGGGUGAACGAGCUGGAGACGGUGAACAUGGACUUGAGAGAUUCCUUGUCUUAUUGCCUCAAACAGCAGAAAAAUCUCCUGG
Poecilia latipinna (sailfin molly) is the source of this 545-nucleotide long non-coding RNA. RefSeq lists it as uncharacterized. The transcript is spliced from 4 exons. The record is from RefSeq and is a predicted model, not a curated record. NCBI's taxonomy places the organism in Eukaryota, Metazoa, Chordata, Actinopteri, Cyprinodontiformes, Poeciliidae.